GAUGAACGCUGGCGGCGUGCCUAAUACAUGCAAGUCGAGCGAACGGACGAGAAGCUUGCUUCUCUGAUGUUAGCGGCGGACGGGUGAGUAACACGUGGAUAACCUACAUAUAAGACUGGGAUAACUACGGGAAACCGGAGCUAAUACCGGAUAAUAUUUUGAACCGUAUGGUUCAAAAGAGAAAGACGGUUUUGAUGUUACUUAUUGAUGGAUCCGCGCUGCAUUAGCUAGUUGGUAAGGUAACGGCUUACCAAGGCAACGAUGCAUAGCCGACCUGAGAGGGUGAUCGGCCACACUGGAACUGAGACACGGUCCAGACUCCUACGGGAGGCAGCAGUAGGGAAUCUUCCGCAAUGGGCGAAAGCCUGACGGAGCAACGCCGCGUGAGUGAUGAAGGUCUUCGGAUCGUAAAACUCUGUUAUUAGGGAAGAACAUAUGUGUAAGUAACUGUACACAUCUUGACGGUACCUAAUCAGAAAGCCACGGCUAACUACGUG
This 497-nucleotide ribosomal RNA is filed under the name uncultured bacterium. Its description in RNAcentral is "partial 16S ribosomal RNA". It matches the Rfam family "Bacterial small subunit ribosomal RNA", at positions 28 to 507 of the family's 1533-position model. The record is from RNAcentral.